Molecule: ribosomal RNA, 468 nt
Filed under: uncultured bacterium
Lineage: Bacteria
Description: partial 16S ribosomal RNA
Rfam family: Bacterial small subunit ribosomal RNA
Source: RNAcentral
GACGAACGCUGGCGGCGUGCUUAACACAUGCAAGUCGAACGGAAAGGCCCUGCUUUUGUGGGGUGCUCGAGUGGCGAACGGGUGAGUAACACGUGAGUAACCUGCCCUUGACUUUGGGAUAACUUCAGGAAACUGGGGCUAAUACCGGAUAGGAGCUCCUGCUGCAUGGUGGGGGUUGGAAAGUUUCGGCGGUUGGGGAUGGACUCGCGGCUUAUCAGCUUGUUGGUGGGGUAGUGGCUUACCAAGGCUUUGACGGGUAGCCGGCCUGAGAGGGUGACCGGCCACAUUGGGACUGAGAUACGGCCCAGACUGCUACGGGAGGCAGCAGUGGGGAGUAUUGCACAAUGGGCGGAAGCCUGAUGCAGCAGCGCCGCGUGCGGGAUGACGGCCUUCGGGUUGUAAACCGCUUUCGCCUGUGACGAAGCGUGAGUGACGGUAAUGGGUAAAGAAGCACCGGCUAACUACGUG